UGGAACUUGUGGGUGAGGGGAGACGUCGUGUCUAACCAGACGCCGCUGGUAAAGAGAGCGAUUGCACUAUCCGACCCUGCAGUUGAAAGGAAAGUUACUGUCCGGCCGAAUUCCGAGAACGAAGAAGAAUCACAAUCCAGUAGGUCGCCAGAGUUGUGAAAAGUCCACCGUCCAUCUGAUCCACAGGUGUGAGGAGAGUUACUGUGUUGUCUGAGGGAAACCAGAUUGAUUGUUGAGCCCGACCCCAAGCGGGGAAAACCAUCGUAUCGACAAUCGACGAGGAGUGGGCUGUUCCGUUCCUUUCAUCAUUAUUGUCUGUGGAGAGUUGUGGUAACUUUCAGAAAAUGGAACUGGGCGGAUCUCUUCAGGAACUCGCCCUUCCCAGUCUGUUGGACAGCCAUCGGGAACGAGAGGAGGAGAAACCCGAGACCAGCGACCAUCUCGCAAAAGAAGGGGCAGACGGCAAGAAGGCCAUCACCGCCUGGGCUCAGCAGCCUGUUUAUCAUUCAUAUGUUUGCGGUCCCCAAAAAAGAGGGUGAUAUAAAAGUCGAACUCCAACCAACAGUAAAAGAUGCUGAAUUUCAAAGCAAAGUUGUCCCGUUGAAGAGCAUUGGGAUGAUGCAAAGGCCAGCACCUCGCAAGACCCUGAUCUGGGGCAAAUUGAAAAAUCAUUGGAGAAAGUCAAGAGCCCCGGGCAAGGGGAAGGAAAAACCUGGUCAACAGCCGCUUGUGUGCCUCUGAGGAAAUUGUUAUAUGGCAGGAAGAUGUCCAAGAAAGGAGGCAAGGUGCAGGAAACAACAGCAGAGAGACUGGUUCCAUGGGCAGAUGCCAUGGCAACCAGCAUUAUCCAAGAGGCACUGAAAGAGGCUGCCCAUUGUAUGAUAGAGUUGGAAUCAACCACCUCCUCCUGCCAGAAGCUGGCUAUCCCUGAUGCCCAAGCUGAGAGCUCCAGGCCAGAGCUGGACAUGUCUGCGGGGGAAGGUGCAGAAAAAGUGGAACCAGGCACCUCCAGGGAGAAGGAACGACCACAGCUGAGUCAGCAGGGGAAGACUGCAAGCCGGCCUCUGAGAGUGACAGUCUGCAACGGAGAAGAUUCCACUUCUCUGGAGUGACCUGCUGGCUGCGAAAAGUCAAAGACCUGCUCAUUCCAAAAGAAGUGCUGAAUUAAGGAGUGGUCACAGGAGGCAGAGGAACGGCUACAGGACUCACCUGGGCCGCUUUGAGCACAUCUUCAAGGAGAAUGGUCGCAGAAAAGUGGCAUCCAUCAUCAGAGAUUGCCAUCACCCAGGACAUGCUCUUUCUCACUGGUGCCAUCAGAUACAGGAGCCUCAGGACUCAGGCUACCAGGUUCCGAUGCAGUUAUUGCCCCUCAACGAUCGGGCUCUUGAAGCAGAGGAGAUAACUUUACUCGUCGCAUCACUGAACUGUUCCCACACAAAUGGACUCACUUUCAAGGGCUCUUCAGCCUGUGUUCUCAGUAUUUAUUGCUUAGUUAUUAUUAUUAUUAUUAUUAUUAUUUAUAUUUCUUUUGUAUUUGAAGCAUUUGUUGUAUUGAUUACAAUUUCAGGAUAAAUUUUUAUAAGACCAACAGAAGCCUUGUCUUGUAGAUUUGUAAAAAUGGUAAUCAAUCACAGUAUUUUUUAAUCAAUGAAAAUCUUUUGGAGUAAAUGAUAAUUCAUUUUACUAAAAGUUAAAGUAACAUUUCUGCCAAAAUUAGACAUACAAUUCCAUAUGAUGAGUAUGCAGAGUGACUGAAUGUCACAAUCCAUGUAAUAUUUGAAAUGUUUUUAAAAAUGGGAAAAAUGCUUUCUGAUUUUUUUCUGUUCCUUCUCCUUUCACAUAUGCUGAGAAUAACUGGGUAAAGACUUCUCUAAAUGCCUCAAAUCCAUGUACAGCCCAGACUUCUACAGUGCACUGCUACCUGUGGAUGAGCACAGAUAAAACUCAGCUGAGAGACAAGUAAACUGACAUCAAAGUUUAUUCCUUGAUUUUGAGACACUCAGCACCCGAAAGUUGCUUAUUUUGCAUUCCACGACUGAUCUUAAAGUCAUAGUUUACUCAGCCCAUAGCCCUCCAGUCCUUUCCUGUGCAUUUCGCUGUCCAAAUUAACUUUAAACGACAACAUCGAACCUGCCUCAACCACUUCUGCUGCAAGCUUGUUCCACACAGCUACCACUCUCUGAGUAAAGAAGUUCCCCCUCAUGUUACCCCUAAACUUCUGCCCUUUAACUCUCAACUCAUGUCCUCUUGUUUGAAUCUCCCCCACUCUCAAUGGAAAAAUCCUAUCCACGUCAACUCUAUCUAUCCCCCUCAUAAUUUUAAACACCUCUAUCAAGUCCCCCCUCAACCUUCUACGUUCCAAAGAAUAAAGACCCAACUUGUCCAACCUUAUCCUCUUUUAUAUUCAUCUUCAUUAAUCAUUAUAUUUUCCCAGCGUGCGGUGUAAAGU
Mobula hypostoma (lesser devil ray) is the source of this 2449-nucleotide long non-coding RNA. RefSeq lists it as uncharacterized. The transcript has 3 exons. Lineage: Eukaryota; Metazoa; Chordata; Chondrichthyes; Myliobatiformes; Myliobatidae. The record is from RefSeq and is a predicted model, not a curated record.